UUAAACUCCUAGUAAAACCAGAAAUGGAUCAAACUGCUAUGUAAUGGGAGUCUUACUUCCAUCACUGGAGAAACACCCUCCUUUAAGAAGUCACCUUUACUCAUUUAACCUAAUCUAGAUAGUUGUUAUACCUAUUAGUUUGUUAAGCAUGAUCUACCUAUGACACCUUCACAAACUGCAAACACAGAUAAGCAUUUUAAAUAUAUAUUACUAUUGAUUUGAACUUGCUGUGUGCAUAUCUAUAGACAUCUAAAAUGCACAAUGUGUAAUCCAGGUAUUGUAACUGUAGCACUUUAGAGCAGAGUUUAAUAUCAGACAGGAACAUUAAUCUCCUUAUUCUACGCACAUUUAUUAAUACAAAAAAUGCUUUACUAGUUAAAUUGCCUUGAGAUGCUUCUGUUAACUGCUACAUACUAUCGGUUAUUAAUUUGGUUUAUUUAAAACAAUUAAAUAUACACAACCCACACAAUGAAAUGACAAAGUACAGUGGGUGGUUAAAGAUAAGACCCUUCCAGCUGGAGGCAACUCUGUCUGAAUGUGACAUCAUUUUUUUUUUUUUUUUUUUUUUUUCAAUCUCCAUUAGAUACUGCAGGAAACAACUGGAGAUUCGUCACAGUAAAUCAAAAUCAUUAAGCCUUGUGGUGGGUGUUAAUAGCCAAGUUCAGGGAAUGAUUAGUACAUCAUUGAAAUAAUGACAGAAUAAAUUCCUGGUGAUUCCUAAUGCUGGGUCGCUCUGCUUUUUUGUUCCUCAGAUAGGGGCAAAGAGAUAUGACUUCCAGCUUUGACAUACAACACUGCCAUCAAUCAAGGGUCUCCACAUUUCUUACAGCACAGCACCCAUUUUCUUUUUAAAUCAGAGGGAAAAAUGGUGCGCCGCUCCCUGGGAGCUCCAGUCCACGGUCAGCAAUGGAAUAUCCUGGACCCGAACUGGCAAGCUGCAGGCGACAGAGCGCAUCCUGCACUCCAUCAGGGAAAAUAUUUAAUACUGCAGAAUUGGAACAGGCUAAUUCCACAGGUUCUACAAGUGCAGACAGCGUUUCAAUAUAGGUCUAUAUAUUAAAAAAGUAGAGGUGUGAUGUGUAGACUUAAAUUCAAAUACCGUUGUACACUUUUAACAAUAAUAAUACUGCCUUAGAAAUACCUGA
Long non-coding RNA from Polyodon spathula (Mississippi paddlefish), 1145 nucleotides. RefSeq lists it as uncharacterized. The record is from RefSeq and is a predicted model, not a curated record. Lineage: Eukaryota; Metazoa; Chordata; Actinopteri; Acipenseriformes; Polyodontidae. The transcript has 2 exons.